Molecule: ribosomal RNA, 495 nt
Filed under: uncultured bacterium
Lineage: Bacteria
Description: partial 16S ribosomal RNA
Rfam family: Bacterial small subunit ribosomal RNA
Source: RNAcentral
GAUGAACGCUGGCGGCGUGCCUAAUACAUGCAAGUAGAACGCUGAAGGAGGAGCUUGCUCUUCUGGAUGAGUUGCGAACGGGUGAGUAACGCGUAGGUAACCUGCCUGGUAGCGGGGGAUAACUAUUGGAAACGAUAGCUAAUACCGCAUGACAACAGUUAUUGCAUGAUAACUGUUUAAAAGGGGCAACUGCUCCACUACCAGAUGGACCUGCGUUGUAUUAGCUAGUUGGUGAGGUAACGGCUCACCAAGGCGACGAUACAUAGCCGACCUGAGAGGGUGAUCGGCCACACUGGGACUGAGACACGGCCCAGACUCCUACGAGAGGCAGCAGUAGGGAAUCUUCGGCAAUGGACGGAAGGCUGACCGAGCAACGCCGCGUGAGUGAAGAAGGUUUUCGGAUCGUAAAGCUCUGUUGUAAGAGAAGAACGAGUGUGAGAGUGGAAAGUUCACACUGUGACGGUAUCUUACCAGAAAGGGACGGCUAACUACGUG